GACGAACGCUGGCGGCGUGCUUAAUACAUGCAAGUCGAACGGAAAGGCCCUGCUUUUGUGGGGUUCUCGAGUGGCGAACGGGUGAGUAACACGUGAGUAACCUGCCCUUGACUUUGGGAUAACUUCAGGAAACUGGGGCGAAUACCGGAGAGGAGCUCCUGCUGCACGGUGGGGGUUGGAAAGUUUCGGCGGUGGGGGAUGGACUCGCGGCUUAUCAGCUUGGUGGUGGGGUAGUGGCUUACCAAGGCUUUGACGGGUAGCCGGCCUGAGAGGGUGACCGGCCACAUUGGGACUGAGAUACGGAGCAGACUCCUACGGGCCGCAGCAGUGGGGAGUCUUGCACAAUGGGCGGACGCCUGAUGCAGCAACGCCGCGUGCGGGAUGCCGGCCUUCGGGUUGUAAACCGCUUUCGCAUGUGCCGAAGCCUGCGUGACGGUAAUGGGUAAAGAAGCACCGGCUAACUACGUG
RNAcentral lists this ribosomal RNA (468 nucleotides) under uncultured bacterium. Its description in RNAcentral is "partial 16S ribosomal RNA". It matches the Rfam family "Bacterial small subunit ribosomal RNA", at positions 28 to 507 of the family's 1533-position model. The record is from RNAcentral.